GGAUAAGUGCUGAAAGCAUCUAAGCAUGAAGCCCCCCUCAAGAUGAGAUUUCCCAACUUCGGUUAUAAGAUCCCUCAAAGAUGAUGAGGUUAAUAGGUUCGAGGUGGAAGCAUGGUGACAUGUGGAGCUGACGAAYACUAAUCGAUCGAAGACUUAAUCAAAA
Molecule: ribosomal RNA, 163 nt
Filed under: Staphylococcus aureus
Lineage: Bacteria; Bacillati; Bacillota; Bacilli; Caryophanales; Staphylococcaceae
Description: partial 23S ribosomal RNA
Rfam family: Bacterial large subunit ribosomal RNA
Source: RNAcentral